This 305-nucleotide ribosomal RNA is filed under the name uncultured bacterium. RNAcentral's name for it is "bacterial SSU rRNA". It matches the Rfam family "Bacterial small subunit ribosomal RNA", at positions 335 to 638 of the family's 1533-position model. The record is from RNAcentral.
UACCUACGGGGGGCAGCAGUGAGGAAUAUUGGUCAAUGGGCGCGAGCCUGAACCAGCCAAGUCGCGUGAGGGAAGACGGUCCUAUGGAUUGUAAACCUCUUUUGUCGGGGAGCAAAAGACGCCACGUGUGGCGUUCCGAGAGUACCCGAAGAAAAAGCAUCGGCUAACUCCGUGCCAGCAGCCGCGGUAAUACGUAGGUGGCAAGCGUUGUCCGGAUUUACUGGGUGUAAAGGGCGUGCAGCCGGGCUGACAAGUCAGAUGUGAAAUCCCGCGGCUCAACCGCGGAACUGCAUUUGAAACUGUCA